Microbotryomycetes sp. JL201 is the source of this 92-nucleotide non-coding RNA. The record is from the annotation of a GenBank genome assembly. Lineage: Eukaryota; Fungi; Basidiomycota; Microbotryomycetes.
GGCGAUUUCGCAUAGUGGUUAUUGCGGCGAUUUACUAUAUCUUGGCAUGUCGCUGUCCUCUGGACUCAUGGGUUCAAAUCCCAUAAUCGCCU